Molecule: ribosomal RNA, 1378 nt
Filed under: Micrococcus sp. 402
Lineage: Bacteria; Bacillati; Actinomycetota; Actinomycetes; Micrococcales; Micrococcaceae
Description: 16S ribosomal RNA
Rfam family: Bacterial small subunit ribosomal RNA
Source: RNAcentral
ACGAUGAACCCAGCUUGCUGGGUGGAUUAGUGGCGAACGGGCUGAGUAACACGUGAGUAACCUGCCCUUGACUCUGGGAUAAGCCUGGGAAACUGGGUCUAAUACUGGAUAUGACUUCUCACCGCAUGGUGGGGGGUGGAAAGAUUUAUUGGUCUUGGAUGGACUCGCGGCCUAUCAGCUUGUUGGUGAGGUAAUGGCUCACCAAGGCGACGACGGGUAGCCGGCCUGAGAGGGUGACCGGCCACACUGGGACUGAGACACGGCCCAGACUCCUACGGGAGGCAGCAGUGGGGAAUAUUGCACAAUGGGCGCAAGCCUGAUGCAGCGACGCCGCGUGAGGGAUGACGGCCUUCGGGUUGUAAACCUCUUUCAGUAGGGAAGAAGCGAAAGUGACGGUACCUGCAGAAGAAGCGCCGGCUAACUACGUGCCAGCAGCCGCGGUAAUACGUAGGGCGCGAGCGUUAUCCGGAAUUAUUGGGCGUAAAGAGCUCGUAGGCGGUUUGUCGCGUCUGCCGUGAAAGUCCGGGGCUUAACCCCGGAUCUGCGGUGGGUACGGGCAGACUAGAGUGCAGUAGGGGAGACUGGAAUUCCUGGUGUAGCGGUGAAAUGCGCAGAUAUCAGGAGGAACACCGAUGGCGAAGGCAGGUCUCUGGGCUGUAACUGACGCUGAGGAGCGAAAGCAUGGGGAGCGAACAGGAUUAGAUACCCUGGUAGUCCAUGCCGUAAACGUUGGGCACUAGGUGUGGGGGACAUUCCACGUUUUCCGCGCCGUAGCUAACGCAUUAAGUGCCCCGCCUGGGGAGUACGGCCGCAAGGCUAAAACUCAAAGGAAUUGACGGGGGCCCGCACAAGCGGCGGAGCAUGCGGAUUAAUUCGAUGCAACGCGAAGAACCUUACCAAGGCUUGACAUGUUCCUGACCGCCGUAGAGAUACGGUUUCCCCUUUGGGGCAGGUUCACAGGUGGUGCAUGGUUGUCGUCAGCUCGUGUCGUGAGAUGUUGGGUUAAGUCCCGCAACGAGCGCAACCCUCGUUCCAUGUUGCCAGCACGUAGUGGUGGGGACUCAUGGGAGACUGCCGGGGUCAACUCGGAGGAAGGUGGGGACGACGUCAAAUCAUCAUGCCCCUUAUGUCUUGGGCUUCACGCAUGCUACAAUGGCCGGUACAAUGGGUUGCGAUACUGUGAGGUGGAGCUAAUCCCAAAAAGCCGGUCUCAGUUCGGAUUGGGGUCUGCAACUCGACCCCAUGAAGUCGGAGUCGCUAGUAAUCGCAGAUCAGCAACGCUGCGGUGAAUACGUUCCCGGGCCUUGUACACACCGCCCGUCAAGUCACGAAAGUUGGUAACACCCGAAGCCGGUGGCCUAACCCUGGGGGGAGCCUC